This 2078-nucleotide long non-coding RNA is filed under the name Salmo salar (Atlantic salmon). Its description in RNAcentral is "lncRNA (ENSSSAG00000110062.1)". The record is from RNAcentral. Lineage: Eukaryota; Metazoa; Chordata; Actinopteri; Salmoniformes; Salmonidae.
UUUGGGGAGGGACAGAAAACAGUAUGUCACCAGGCGGUACACUUGGUAGUUCUUUAUUAAGUAAUACAUUACACAAUGUGAACAUAGAAAUGGUGUGUAGUCAUCACUACAACAAAGUACUGCGUCCCAAAUUGCAUCCGACUAUCUAUAUAGUGUACAACUUUAGGCCAGGAUGCAUAGGGCUCUAGUCUAAAGUAGUGCACUGCAUAGGGAAUAGGGUGCCAUUGGGGACACAGCCUGAACCAUACCGAUAGUUUCUUCCCUAGCUACGACACCUACAGUAUAGAAAUUAUUUUCUGAGCACAAUAAAUGAUCAUCCCAAUAGACAUCAUGAAGACAAUUCACCCCCAAAAGACUAUAUAAAAACACCCUACAAAAAACAAAUGAAUCAUAAAAAAAGCACAUCUCUUUUCUUACAUAUUGGACUGUCAAGGAGCAUAAGAGCAUUGAUGAAAAAUACUUUCUACAGAUAAAAGAAAGUUUGGAAGAGGGAAGGUUCACCUCAGCAGUGAAGAAUAGGUCAACAUGGUACUGUAGUCCAGUCUGAAAGGCACAAUUCUGUAUCAACACACUUGGUUUUUAGAUACUUAAGGAGAACGAGAGAUCCUCACAACCUGCCUAGCACCCUAUUCACCCUACACCCCCUGGUCAGAAGUAGUGCACUAUGAAGGGAAUCAAGUGCCAUCUGGGACACUCAGAGAGAUGGAAUGAUUUUCUGAGGACAUGGACAUCCUACCACUGUGACUGGUUUGUCACAAAGGUUUGUUUCAGCAUGCUCAGUUCAUCUAGUAGUUUCCUCCUCUUAUCAGUAGUGCACUAUGAAGGGAAUAGGGUGCCAUCUGGGACACAGUCUAUGAGCACUUUUCCAUCCAAACCACUUUGUUACAAUAAGGAUUAUCAGAUUUUAUAUCUGGUACAUUCUGGUGUCUUCCUGUAAGCAUCGUUUUAUUGAGAAUUUGGCAUGAAAAAGAUUGUUGUCUCUAGCUCCGCUCUCAUCCCUCUCUCUCUCUGCCCCCGUAUCGGUCCCCCUCCUCUCUCCACAACAAACAUAAUUUCCCCUCACAGCCGAGUGUUCCUGGUGGUACAGUCUCUUCGCCGGUAUGAAUAUGUUUCCACCUACUCCCUGCGUGAUCUUCCAGUACUCAAAAGGCCACUUGGUGGCUUGAACAAUGUGUUUGUGUUUGUGCAUACAUACUGCCUGUUGGGCCUAGUCUACUGCCUGUUCCCUCUCCAGCUGGAGCUCUGCAUAAACAGCAGCAGGACAGAGUCAUGUUCAUUAGGGCACACUGUUCCAAGAUGUUUUACAACAGAAGAGGAAGACAAGUACUAUUGCACAAGGACAUCAAUUACAGGAUACGCUUCACAUUCCUUCCUGCUUGGCUCCAGGGUGCUGAUUCCAUUGGCGCUAAGGCACAGGGCGGGUCCAGGGGGCUGAUUCUAUUGGCACUAAGGCACAGGGCGGGUCCAGGGUGCUGAUUCUAUUGGCACUAAGGCACAGGGCGGGUCCAGGGUGUGUGUCUUUUGUAACAUGGCUGGAUCCCAGGUGAUCCACCCAUGGGAGAGUGGCAUACCGGUCCUAUUGUUCACAGCUCUCUGUACAGCUACCAUGGGAAUGAGAGCAGGUCUGACCUCAUGGAGUCGCAGCUCUGUGAGAGAGAGGAGAUAUGGAGGACAAUGAGUUCUGUCCCUGAUACACUGAUUACUACUUCACUGUGUUAGGAAUGUUGAUUACAUUUAGUCUUUAUUCAUUAAUGUUGAUUAAUGCGUUAUAGUAUGCCAUGAAACAUUGUAUACCUGUCUGGUUAGUGCCAACUUGGGUCAAUUUGCUCUGUAAUAUCAUAACAUGAAAUUGCUAAUUGUGUCUUAGAUGACGCAUUAACAUACAGUAUAAAACAGCCGUUAUGUUCCAAUGUUCAUAUUAGCAUACCUUUUAGAACGCAUGGCCAGGUAUUAUCCUAGUGUGGACACAGCUUGUGUUAAGAAUGCAUGGCCAGGUAAUAUUCUAGUGUGGACACAGCUGGUGUUCAGAACACAUGGCCAGGUAUUAUCCUAGUGUGGACACAGCUUGUGUUUUGGCA